GUGUGUGUGUGUGUGUGUGCAUGCUCGCUCAGUUGCCAAAAGGAAGGUCAAGUUGGGCUGCAGCAAAAUACUCUUCUUAGCCGGCACAGGAAUAACUUGUUUUCCCAGUGGACAUCUGAGCUUCCUCCCUUCACUGAACUGUGAUUGACUCUAAUGCUGAGCGCUUGAAGGCACCACUGAAAAUUGUGGCUUUCUUGUGGUAAGACAUUAAAACAAACACCACCACCUCACCCUGAAAAGAGGAACAAAACCAAAAGCAACCGACCAACUAAACAAAAAAAGCACCCCACAUCCAAGCCUGUUCCAGCUUAAACAAAUGGCACCAAUGGAGAUCAAAGGACGUGGCAGUUAAAUGGGAGAUGAAGGAAGAAGAACAUAGGGGAGAAGAGGUGACUUGGCCAACCAAGGUCGGAGACGGUUUCAUGCUGCAGUAUUCAAAGCCCAGACAUUUUGUUUUCAGGCAAAUUGUAGACUUUUGUAGGGAUGUGAAAGGUGCAAUGCUGCUGGGAUGAAUAAAUCUAGACCCACGCACAGAGACUCCGGCUUUGUGCUGUCCCUGAUGACAACAGUCACAGAAGAGGCAGUGUGCAGUAUGGUUCCUCUGUUUUACAUAAGACCACUGCACAAUUCAACAGAUCUGAGUAACAACUGAAGUCAAUUAAAUUAACCAGACAAGAAAAACAGCUACACCCAUUUCAGCGUGGACAUGUGCAAUUGCAAGCAAUUACUGUGAUUAACCUUCUCACGGUCAUAUAAAUCCAGCACCUGGCUAAUAAGGCACACAUGUGCCUGUGCUGAGGAUUUUGCUCCAGGCAAGAGAUGUGCUCUUUUGUGAGGAUCCUUUUUAUUUGCCUUUUUCCCAGUCAUUUCCCAGAAGCCUUAAAUUUCUCCCUAGCCUUCUUUAUCUUUUUUUUGGCUUGACCUGAGCUGUGUUUGCCAUUGACAUGUUUGUUGUUAGCAGUGGGUGGGAGAGCCCUGCUACAGAAUCACACCAUCCUUAAGUCAAAAGUCACCAUUUGCAUCAGUGGAACUUCCCCAUCUUUGCAAUCAAGCAGCCUCUGCAGGAGUCAGAAGAAGUCCAUUCUUCCAUUGAGCCCAGAAAAACUGAAGGCAAAUUGUUGGAUAAUACUGAUGUUAUGGUUCUAUUUUAUAUUGCUGUGUACACACAGUGCUUGUUACCAUAAGGGCAAAUGUGUCAGAUCCAUAAUCAGCAGCCUUGCACUGAUAUGUUUCAGGAAACAAGCUUACCUUUCCACACACAUGGCACUGUUGUCAUUUUACAUUAUGUUUAUAAGGAAAAGGGAAGUACAUGGUAAACACAUAGACGCUAUUCAUCAGUAUCUUUGGAUUGCUGGACUAUAUCACUAAGAUUUUCCUAUAAACCCCCUUAGAAGUGGGUGUCUGCUGUUUUUGUUCAGGGUUACAGCAGAUUGUUUUUAGAUUAAACUUUAUAUAUGACUCACAUUCUCAGCUUGAGCACACUGUGGUUGCCAACAGGAAUGAAGUGAAUUUAGACAAUUCAUGAAUCAGUCCAUAAGCCACGUAGGGAAGAUUCAGAUGUAGAAAUGAUCAGUCACCUGCACUGCAAUCUCAAUGGUGUAUUCAGGUUCAGUAAAUUUCUCAUUCAGAAACAGGAAAAAAAUGCCAACAACAGAGGUUAUCCUCUUAUUGGUGUAAUCGUUCUCAUGUUGUUUCUGGGCAGUAUUUGUCCGCACCCAUCUUAAAUUUGUCAGUAAGUGGAACGUGAGAAUAUUAACUUCUGUACAAAUGGGAGCUUUUAUAAAGAUCUUCUCUUCCCUGUGCCAUUCAUCUGUAUGCUAAGGAUUCCACCUUUGCAAACUCCAUGCUCUGAAAUUCCUCCUCCUCUGCUUCUCCUCUUCUCCUUCUUUUCCAUUAGAGGAAGGUUAUUAUUUAGUCCGAGUUGUGCAAUAUGUUUCUGGUAUCUCUUGCUGGAACAGCCCAGGGCUCAGGCUCUGGCUGAGAUGAUGAGCAUCCAGCUAAACUGGGGGAUUUCCCCUGUGCUAGGGGAUUACGGUGCAUCUGAAAACAUGCACUUGCAAUGGAAAAGGACUUCAGAUUGCUAAACAAACGAUAUGUCUCAAAUUGUCUUUCUGAAAAAGAAAAACAACCUCUUGACUCUCAAGCCCCUGUAUGCGAAAUUUCCAGGAUGAUGGAAUCAUUGUGUAGAGUUUCUUGCCACCACUAUAUGAUGUAAAGGAAAACUGUGUGGUGACAAACAGCUCUGUCCUAUGGCAGUGUUAGAUAUACCAUGGGUGGAUUACUCAUUUUCCAGCUUGCCUUUGAGUCCUGGCAUUUUGCAUUUUCCCCUUUAUACUCCUCAUAAUACAGCUUUCAAGCAGAUGAUGGUUCUCUGUCCAGAGUUAUAUGCUGUUUUCUGAGAUAUCUGGAAUUGAGCCUUUACAGAAGAAUCAAAAAGAUUUUUUUAAAGCAAUAUUGCUAAUGGAUGAAGGCUUCUUUUUAUAUCUUGCCAAUUACAAAUCUCUCUAUUCUUAGGUCAUUAAGCAGUUUAAAAUAGAGUUGAAUAGGGCACUGAGUAAAACCAGGAAGUGUUUUUGUAUGGCUGUCAUACAUGGCUUGGGUGUAGGCAUCUUAAUCCAGGACAUGAGCUCAGAACGACCAGGCCCUUGCUCCCCUUAGGGCUAUGUUGUGUUGGGAUGCUCAGGGGUUCUGGGAACAGUUGUACCAAGAAGGAAAGGCAAGUAAUAUAUCGAUUUGCAACAUUUCAUCUUUGUGUAAUGUAUUAAAGGGAAUGUGCUUAUUUUAGGAUCAAAUAGAAAUCCUUGUAAUGAAGCAAGGUAGGGUCAUUUUCCCUUUUGAGUUCUAUGACUUCUCAUAGAAUGCUUUCUGUGCAGAAUUAGUUUACCUAUGAAGCAAUUAAUGUGUACUCUGAAAAACCGUGUUGAUAGAAAGUAGCAGAUAACCAUGGACUGUCCUUCCCUGACUUUGUGUUGUAAGAUCUGGGUCAGCCUAUGUGAUUCCUACUCUCUGCUGUGUGCUUCUGCUACUGCUAGUGCAGCUCAGGUGAGUUUAUCCGCAAGGCAGGCUUCCAGUUCCAUUACAUGCUGUUGUGUGGAAGCCUCUGGGCUGACCUAAAGCCCACCAACUCUGUUGGACCACAUUGCCCAUUGGAGAAGCCACUGGCAAGCUGCCUAUUGCACUGCUGGGAGAGCCAUUAAUGGGCAGCAAAAGUGAGUUUUGACACAUUGUAGGAAGAUUUUACUGAAGUUUCUGUAUCCAUGUUGAUCUCACCUGCCUUCUUGAAGUGCCUGGAGACUGAGUUUGAACAUUUGGGCCAACCUUUUUACAUGGAAAAGACUCCUUUUGGCUGUGGUUUCCAAGACAAGUGUAAACACUGCCAUUGUUCUGGGCUUUGGGAAGGCCAUGAAGACAUCUCUCUGUUGUCAGUGCCAUAAAAGCCAUUUCACCCCGCACAGUGGAAAAGGACUUUCUACUGAGACAUUGCAAUGACUUAGGAUACGACUGAAGAAAACAUAGAGUGCAUUUUUAUGGUCAACAAAUAGUUAUGAUUUUAAUGAGCAAUAGAAUACACUGGAAAAAAUAUUUUGAGAUUGUUGGUUUUUUUUUUGAAGAAUGAAAUAAACAGGAGCUGUCCUAUCAGGAAUGUAGAUCUGGUGUUUUAACAAUUCGUAGGGAACACUUGAAAUGUUAGGACUCGGUUAGGAAGUCUUUCUUAGGAAAGCAUCUGCUAGAAGAGGCCGUGGCUGGAAGAUGGCUGCUUUUAACCUGUCUUGUGAGGGUUGGUUUCUUCU
Tympanuchus pallidicinctus (lesser prairie-chicken) is the source of this 3791-nucleotide long non-coding RNA. RefSeq lists it as uncharacterized. The transcript has 2 exons. The record is from RefSeq and is a predicted model, not a curated record. Lineage: Eukaryota; Metazoa; Chordata; Aves; Galliformes; Phasianidae.